GACGAACGCUGGCGGCGUGCUUAACACAUGCAAGUCGAGCGGAAAGGCCCUUCGGGGUACUCGAGCGGCGAACGGGUGAGUAACACGUGAGCAACCUGCCCCGGACUUUGGAAUAACCCUCGGAAACGGGGGCUAAUGCCAAAUAUUACUGACUCUCGCAUGGGGGUUGGUGGAAAGUUUUUCGGUCUGGGAUGGGCUCGCGGCCUAUCAGCUUGUUGGUGGGGUAAUGGCCUACCAAGGCGAGGACGGGUAGCCGGCCUGAGAGGGCGACCGGCCACACUGGGACUGAGACACGGCCCAGACUCCUACGGGAGGCAGCAGUGGGGAAUAUUGCACAAUGGGCGGAAGCCUGAUGCAGCGACGCCGCGUGAGGGAUGACGGCCUUCGGGUUGUAAACCUCUUUCAGCAGGGACGAAGCGCAAGUGACGGUACCUGCAGAAGAAGCGCCGGCCAACUACGUGCCAGCCGCCGCUGUAACAC
This 480-nucleotide ribosomal RNA is filed under the name uncultured bacterium. RNAcentral's name for it is "bacterial SSU rRNA". It matches the Rfam family "Bacterial small subunit ribosomal RNA", at positions 28 to 526 of the family's 1533-position model. The record is from RNAcentral.